Molecule: long non-coding RNA, 671 nt
Filed under: Callithrix jacchus (white-tufted-ear marmoset)
Lineage: Eukaryota; Metazoa; Chordata; Mammalia; Primates; Cebidae
Description: lncRNA (ENSCJAG00000081732.1)
Source: RNAcentral
AAUACUCCCCCCGUCCUUUCCAGUCUGUGCACCCCGAGCUAAGUGAGGCAGCCGAAAGUUGUGGACACUUAGGCUGCCGCGCGGGGGGUGUGUGUCCGUGUCUGUGUGUCCGUCCCCGCCCUUCCACCCCCUCCCUCGCCCUUCCCCAAAUCUCGGGUCUGACGUCGCGCCCUCUUAUUCGACUUUUCCCCGCGUCUCUUCCCAGAGUCGCCAAUCGCCUGGGCGCCUUACAGGCGAGGCGGCCCACCCCCUCGGAUCCUGCGCGCAGGGCGGGGCGGGGCAGGGGCGGGAGCCCGGGCGCCGCUAGUCCCUGCCCGACCCCUCCUGCCCGCGCGGGGUGGUGGAGCGUGAGGCUUGGGGACCGGCUGUGAUGCCAUGAGAAGACUCAGAUAGCACAUGGACAGGCCCACAUAGCAAUGAAUUGCGACUUGCCAGCAACCGUGUGGGUUAGCUUGGAGCAGACUCUCCAGUCCUGAGUCUUCAGAUGGCUAUAGCCCUGGCUGGCCACGUGACUGAACCUGAGGAGAAAUGCUGACAAAGGCAUGCAGCUAAGCAGCCCCUGGAUUCCUGACCCACAGAAACUGUGAAAUAAUAAAUGUUUGUUGUUCAAAGCCAAGGGUUGGCAAAAUACAUUCCACUUGUUUUGUAAAUAAAGUUUUGUUGAAACACAG